RNAcentral lists this ribosomal RNA (1481 nucleotides) under uncultured bacterium. RNAcentral describes it as "bacterial SSU rRNA". It matches the Rfam family "Bacterial small subunit ribosomal RNA". The record is from RNAcentral.
ACGGAGAGUUUGAUCCUGGCUCAGGAUGAACGCUGGCGGCGUGCUUAACACAUGCAAGUCGAACGAACCUUCGGGUUAGUGGCGGACGGGUGAGUAACGCGUGGGAAUCUGCCCUCAGGAGGGGGAUAACGGUUGGAAACGACCGCUAAUACCCCAUAUGCCGAGAGGUGAAACGAAAUUCGCCUGAGGAUGAGCCCGCGUCUGAUUAGCUAGUUGGUGGGGUAAAGGCCUACCAAGGCAUCGAUCAGUAGCUGGUCUGAGAGGAUGAUCAGCCACACUGGGACUGAGACACGGCCCAGACUCCUACGGGAGGCAGCAGUGGGGAAUUUUCCGCAAUGGGCGCAAGCCUGACGGAGCAACGCCGCGUGAGGGAUGAAGGCCUCUGGGCUGUAAACCUCUUUUCUCAAGGAAGAAGAACUGACGGUACUUGAGGAAUAAGCCACGGCUAAUUCCGUGCCAGCAGCCGCGGUAAUACGGGAGUGGCAAGCGUUAUCCGGAAUUAUUGGGCGUAAAGCGUCCGCAGGCGGCCUUGAAAGUCUGUCGUUAAAGCGUGGAGCUUAACUCCAUUUCGGCGGUGGAAACUACAAGGCUUGAGUGUGGUAGGGGCAGAGGGAAUUCCCGGUGUAGCGGUGAAAUGCGUAGAUAUCGGGAAGAACACCAGUGGCGAAGGCGCUCUGCUGGGCCAUAACUGACGCUCAUGGACGAAAGCUAGGGGAGCGAAAGGGAUUAGAUACCCCUGUAGUCCUAGCCGUAAACGAUGAACACUAGGUGUCGGGGGAAUCGACCCCCUCGGUGUCGUAGCUAACGCGUUAAGUGUUCCGCCUGGGGAGUACGCACGCAAGUGUGAAACUCAAAGGAAUUGACGGGGGCCCGCACAAGCGGUGGAGUAUGUGGUUUAAUUCGAUGCAACGCGAAGAACCUUACCAGGGUUUGACAUCCUGCGAAUCCCUUGGAAACUUGGGAGUGCCUUCGGGAGCGCAGAGACAGGUGGUGCAUGGCUGUCGUCAGCUCGUGUCGUGAGAUGUUGGGUUAAGUCCCGCAACGAGCGCAACCCACGUCUUUAGUUGCCAGCAUUUAGUUGGGCACUCUAGAGAGACCGCCGGUGAUAAACCGGAGGAAGGUGUGGAUGACGUCAAGUCAUCAUGCCCCUUACAUCCUGGGCUACACACGUACUACAAUGCUACGGACAAAGGGUUGCAAACUCGCGAGAGCUAGCUAAUCCCAUAAACCGUGGCUCAGUUCAGAUCGUAGGCUGCAACUCGCCUACGUGAAGGAGGAAUCGCUAGUAAUCGCAGGUCAGCAUACUGCGGUGAAUACGUUCCCGGGCCUUGUACACACCGCCCGUCACACCAUGGAAGUUGGCCACGCCCGAAGUCGUUACUCCAACCCGCAAGGGAGGAGGAUGCCGAAGGUGGGGCUGAUGACUGGGGUGAAGUCGUAACAAGGUAGCCGUACCGGAAGGUGCGGCUGGAUCACCUCCU